This 75-nucleotide antisense RNA is filed under the name Streptomyces albidoflavus. RNAcentral describes it as "ASpks TB sRNA". It matches the Rfam family "ASpks TB sRNA". The record is from RNAcentral. RNAcentral also lists the same sequence under 1 other name. Lineage: Bacteria; Bacillati; Actinomycetota; Actinomycetes; Kitasatosporales; Streptomycetaceae.
CUUCAGCGAACCGAGCAGCAGCGGCCGGGCCGGGUCGCGGUCCUGGCCGUAGGUGGCGAGGAUGGCCUGCGCCUC